GCGCCUGUAGCUCAGUUGGAUAGAGCAACGGACUUCUAAUCCGUGAGCCAGGGGUUCGACUCCCUUCAGGCGCACCA
RNAcentral lists this transfer RNA (77 nucleotides) under Clostridiales bacterium. RNAcentral describes it as "tRNA-Arg". It matches the Rfam family "tRNA". Rfam says of the family: Transfer RNA (tRNA) molecules are approximately 80 nucleotides in length. Their secondary structure includes four short double-helical elements and three loops (D, anti-codon, and T loops). The record is from RNAcentral. Lineage: Bacteria; Bacillati; Bacillota; Clostridia; Eubacteriales.